Rhodamnia argentea is the source of this 197-nucleotide long non-coding RNA. RefSeq lists it as uncharacterized. The transcript has 2 exons. The record is from RefSeq and is a predicted model, not a curated record. Lineage: Eukaryota; Viridiplantae; Streptophyta; Magnoliopsida; Myrtales; Myrtaceae.
AGAUCCUGAGGGACGGAAGAGGCUAGGUUAGCCGAAAGAUGGUUUUCGGUUUAAGGAUGCAAGGUGCCACCGCUUUUUCAGGGUAAGAAGAGGUAGAGAAAAUGCCCCGAGCCAAUGUUCGAGUACCAGGCGCUACGGCGUUGAAGUAACCUAUGCCAUACUCCCAGAAAAAGGUCGAACGACCUUCAACAAAAGGG